Long non-coding RNA from Alosa alosa (allis shad), 223 nucleotides. RefSeq lists it as uncharacterized. The transcript has 3 exons. NCBI's taxonomy places the organism in Eukaryota, Metazoa, Chordata, Actinopteri, Clupeiformes, Clupeidae. The record is from RefSeq and is a predicted model, not a curated record.
UUUAAAUGUGGAGUGAGAUGCGGACAGGAGAACAAUAAUGCGGUGUGCGUUGAAGAGUGAGCUUUGUGGAAUAAGCUGUGCAAACAGGAGAACAAGCAACGCUGAUGCUGGCGAGAGUGUGCACAGCUAUUAGUCAUCCACACUGGUAUAACUUUAUUGGUUCGUCUAAUUCAUCUUGGCUGGUCUUAAAAACGAGGAUUGCCUUCGUCUGUCCAACAAGCCA